Gossypium arboreum is the source of this 352-nucleotide long non-coding RNA. RefSeq lists it as uncharacterized. NCBI's taxonomy places the organism in Eukaryota, Viridiplantae, Streptophyta, Magnoliopsida, Malvales, Malvaceae. The record is from RefSeq and is a predicted model, not a curated record. The transcript is spliced from 2 exons.
GAGUCCUAAUUAGACUAUAUUUUAAAUGAUAGAGCAAGGAAAACUGAAAUUCGGGCUAAAAUGGGGAAAAUACCAAGUGGUGGACGAAAUGGUAAAAAUAGCCAUUUUCGCAUACGAGUGUUGACAAGCCAGCUCGGAAAUCGGAAACGGUCGGAGGCACGCUCACAUUAUCCGUAUACCAUCUUGGCAUAAUGGCUUGUAUAUUUUGAGUAUGGCAUGUAUAGCAUUAUAAUCAUUUUGUAUAUAUGGUCUUAUGAUAUGGUUAUUGAGUUGUAUGGAAAUAGAAAUGCUUGGUAAUGAUUAGCCAUUGGAAUGGCUAAUCAUGAUCAUAUUUGGUAUUAUGUAUGUCAAA